AGAGUUUGAUCCUGGCUCAGAACGAACGCUGGCGGCGUGCCUAACACAUGCAAGUCGAACGCGAAAGUCAGCAAUGAUGAGUAGAGUGGCGCACGGGUGAGUAACACGUAAACGAUCUGUCUUCGACACUGGGAUAACCGUUCGAAAGGAUGGCUAAUACCGGAUAAGCCCACGUCCUUGGGGAUGAGGGAAAAGGGUUG
RNAcentral lists this ribosomal RNA (200 nucleotides) under uncultured bacterium. Its description in RNAcentral is "partial 16S ribosomal RNA". It matches the Rfam family "Bacterial small subunit ribosomal RNA", at positions 8 to 211 of the family's 1533-position model. The record is from RNAcentral.